AGUGAACGCUGGCGGUAGGCCUAACACAUGCAAGUCGAACGGCAGCACAGUAAGAGCUUGCUCUUACGGGUGGCGAGUGGCGGACGGGUGAGGAAUACAUCGGAAUCUACUUUUUCGUGGGGGAUAACGUAGGGACACUUACGCUAAUACCGCAUACGACCUACGGGUGAAAGCAGGGGAUCUUCGGACCUUGCGCGAUUGAAUGAGCUGAUGUCGGAUUAGCUAGUUGGCGGGGUAAAGGCCCACCAAGGCGACGAUCCGUAGCUGGUCUGAGAGGAUGAUCAGCCACACUGGAACUGAGACACGGUCCAGACUCCUACGGGAGGCAGCAGUGGGGAAUAUUGGACAAUGGGCGCAAGCCUGAUCCAGCCAUACCGCGUGGGUGAAGAAGGCCUUCGGGUUGUAAAGCCCUUUUGUUGGGAAAGAAAAGCAGCAGGUUAAUACCCCGCUGUUCUGACGGUACCCAAAGAAUAAGCACCGGCUAACUUCGUG
This 492-nucleotide ribosomal RNA is filed under the name uncultured bacterium. RNAcentral's name for it is "partial 16S ribosomal RNA". It matches the Rfam family "Bacterial small subunit ribosomal RNA", at positions 29 to 507 of the family's 1533-position model. The record is from RNAcentral.